This 574-nucleotide ribosomal RNA is filed under the name uncultured bacterium. RNAcentral's name for it is "bacterial SSU rRNA". It matches the Rfam family "Bacterial small subunit ribosomal RNA", at positions 346 to 916 of the family's 1533-position model. The record is from RNAcentral.
AGGCAGCAGUGGGGAAUCUUGCGCAAUGGACGAAAGUCUGACGCAGCCACGCCGCGUGAGUGAAGAAGGCCUUCGGGUUGUAAAGCUCUGUCACCUGGGACGAAAACACUGACGGUUAAUAGCCGUCGGAAUUGACGGUACCAGGGGAGGAAGUACCGGCUAACUUCGUGCCAGCAGCCGCGGUAAUACGAAGGGUGCAAGCGUUGCUCGGAAUUAUUGGGCGUAAAGGGUUGGUAGGUGGUCUUGUUUGUCUAAGGUGAAAUCCCAUCGCUCAACGGUGGAACGGCCAUUGAUACUGCCUGGCUUGAAUUACAAGGAAGUAACUAGAAUAUGUAGUGUAGCGGUGAAAUGCUUAGAGAUUACAUGGAAUACCAAUUGCGAAGGCAGGUUACUACUUGUGGAUUGACGCUGAUGGACGAAAGCGUGGGUAGCGAACAGGAUUAGAUACCCUGGUAGUCCACGCCGUAAACGAUGGAUACUAGCUGUUGGGAGCGAUCUCAGUGGCUAAGCGAAAGUGAUAAGUAUCCCACCUGGGGAGUACGUUCGCAAGAAUGAAACUCAAAAGAAUUGACGG